GAGUUUGAUCGUGGCUCAGGAUGAACGCUGGCGGCGUGCUUAACACAUGCAAGUCGAACGAAGCACCUUGGACAGAUUCUUCGGAUGAAGUCUUUGGCGACUGAGUGGCGGACGGGUGAGUAACGCGUGGGUAACCUGCCUCAUACAGGGGGAUAACAGUUAGAAAUGGCUGCUAAUACCGCAUAAGCGCACGGUACUGCAUGGUACAGUGUGAAAAACUCCGGUGGUAUGAGAUGGACCCCGCGUU
This 247-nucleotide ribosomal RNA is filed under the name uncultured bacterium. RNAcentral describes it as "partial 16S ribosomal RNA". It matches the Rfam family "Bacterial small subunit ribosomal RNA", at positions 9 to 237 of the family's 1533-position model. The record is from RNAcentral.